GCCAACAUCCAGACCGUUUAGCUCCUCGAGAUGAUUUGGUGCAAUGCUUAUAGCGAUCCUAAAGUCAAGGGAGACACGGGUAUUCUCCGUCAUAUUUUCCAUUGUAAAGUGAAGACAUCUUGCUCCAUCAA
Molecule: non-coding RNA, 131 nt
Filed under: Attheya septentrionalis
Lineage: Eukaryota; Bacillariophyta; Biddulphiophyceae; Attheyales; Attheyaceae
Source: RNAcentral